RNAcentral lists this long non-coding RNA (1419 nucleotides) under Cyanistes caeruleus (blue tit). RNAcentral describes it as "lncRNA (ENSCCEG00000009260.1)". Lineage: Eukaryota; Metazoa; Chordata; Aves; Passeriformes; Paridae. The record is from RNAcentral.
CAUUCCCUUCUCUUUAUUUGGAGCUGGCUUCUCCUUGCCUUUUGCACAAGUGAGUGGGAUCUGCCAACCCCAAAAUAAGUGACUUCAUGGAAAGGCUUCUAUGAAUGAAACUUACACCAAGCUAAGUGCAGAGCCUGCAUCCAAAUGGCUCCUUCCCAGCAACUGGAUGAUAGGCAGAAACAGAGCAGACUGCUUUUUCCUACUUCCCAGGACAGUGGUGAGUGGCACUAGCAGGUAUGUUCAGCUCAGGAGAAGUGUCACAAAGGACCUGCUUCCCACAGGCUGCUUCUUCUGGCACAGUUCUUUCCUGGCCCCUCUCCAAGCACUGUGCCUAUCUACUAAUGCAUCUGGUGGGUUUUCUUGCUCAGAACCAUCUUACUUGUUAUCAAGGGCCUGAUCUUACAAAAUGCUGAGUUGUGCCAUCAGAUUGUACUGACUCUCAUGGAGGCCAGAGAUUUGGGCCUUAGCACAUUUCAAGGAAAGGUUACUUUGGUUGGGAACUACAGUAGGGGUUAACAAGUGAGUAUUAAUACCGUGAUACAGGACUCCUGGUACAUCAUGUUAUUCUUCCUUACCUUUCCACCAAACUUGUCCUCACUUCCACCAUGAAGAAGUAGCAUCUGGCCUACCACUUCCUCUAUAAACACCCAGUGAUCAAAAAGAAAAUGUGUCCUUGUCAUAUCAAACUUUAAUUUGUCUGUGCAGGCUGAGAGAGCAGCAGCUCAGAGUGUACUGGUGUAUUUGGGCAGGGCAAGAGGUUAAGCCUUGGUUAACAGAGGCUGAUGGGGUGUCACAGCUGUGGGGCUGUGAGGUUCCCCUAGUUAUGUCAGGACUGUGCUCAGCCUUGGCAUCUUUUUACACUAGACACUGAAACAGAGGUGCAGCAGGGACAUAGAGUGUUACCCUGUGGUGUUUCUCACGGUAGGUUGGUCUGUGUCACUGCCUGUGGAUUCAAGGAGCUGUGGCCAGCUCACAGGUGAGAAGGAUGAGACUGGAUGUUUGCAUUCUACAGUGCUGGCAUCAAGGUGUUCAGAGCCAACAACUGUACAGCCUGCCAGAGAGAUACUAAAACUGGCAUCUGCCCUUUGUUCAACAGGUUAGAUAAUCUUGGCUCAUAUUACUGUGGCUGCAUCCAAUACAGCACUAGAGACAACACUAGAACCCCAGCCUUCCUAUUCCCCACCCCUCCAGCACACUUUAGCACCAGGCAGGGCAGUAGAAUCACUGGGACAAUUUCCAUCCAGGAUGUGCAGUGCUUUCCUCAGCUCCCAGUGUCCCAGCCUCUUCCUUUCUGCCAUGUUCUCAGCGUGAAACUGAGAACAAAGGGCGUCUGGAGGCCUGCAGCGUGGCUGCUCCCUCCUGUCUCCACAGCAGGCAUGUCAGCCUCCAGCAGAGCUUGAAAAAGAGGAAAGAAAAGAA